Molecule: ribosomal RNA, 399 nt
Filed under: Escherichia coli
Lineage: Bacteria; Pseudomonadati; Pseudomonadota; Gammaproteobacteria; Enterobacterales; Enterobacteriaceae
Description: bacterial SSU rRNA
Rfam family: Bacterial small subunit ribosomal RNA
Source: RNAcentral
GGAACUCAAAGGAGACUGCCAGUGAUAAACUGGAGGAAGGUGGGGAUGACGUCAAGUCAUCAUGGCCCUUACGACCAGGGCUACACACGUGCUACAAUGGCGCAUACAAAGAGAAGCGACCUCGCGAGAGCAAGCGGACCUCAUAAAGUGCGUCGUAGUCCGGAUUGGAGUCUGCAACUCGACUCCAUGAAGUCGGAAUCGCUAGUAAUCGUGGAUCAGAAUGCCACGGUGAAUACGUUCCCGGGCCUUGUACACACCGCCCGUCACACCAUGGGAGUGGGUUGCAAAAGAAGUAGGUAGCUUAACCUUCGGGAGGGCGCUUACCACUUUGUGAUUCAUGACUGGGGUGAAGUCGUAACAAGGUAACCGUAGGGGAACCUGCGGUUGGAUCACCUCCUU